Molecule: non-coding RNA, 76 nt
Filed under: Chloroflexota bacterium
Lineage: Bacteria; Bacillati; Chloroflexota
Description: Chloroflexi bacterium c-di-GMP sequence
Rfam family: c-di-GMP-I-GGC riboswitch aptamer
Source: RNAcentral
UCAGAAAAAGGCAAACCAGUCGCGAGGCUGGGACGCAAAGCCAUGGAACUCCCCGGAGUUUGCCAGGCUGCCUGGG